RNAcentral lists this ribosomal RNA (339 nucleotides) under uncultured soil bacterium. RNAcentral describes it as "bacterial SSU rRNA". It matches the Rfam family "Bacterial small subunit ribosomal RNA", at positions 26 to 378 of the family's 1533-position model. The record is from RNAcentral.
AGAUUGAACGCUGGCGGCAUGCCUAACACAUGCAAGUCGAACGGGAGUAGCAAUACUCUAGUGGCGGACGGGUGAGGAAUACGUAGGAAUUUGCCCUUAAGUGGGGGAUAACCCGGGAAACCCGGAUUAAUACCGCAUGACCUCGAAGAGCAAAGUGGGGGAUCGCAAGACCUCACGCUUUUAGGAGAAGCCUACGUCGGAUUAGCUUAGUUGGUGAGGUAAUGGCUCACCAAGGCGACGAUCCGUAACUGGUCUGAGAGGAUGAUCAGUCACACCGGAACUGAGACACGGUCCGGACUCCGACGGGAGCAGCAGUGGGAAUAGUUGGACAAGUGGGCA